GCCCCUACAGUUUCUUUAAUCUCAAUGUGUUGUAAUAUAUAAAGAAGAUUUUAUAUUGAGAACCAUAAAAAACUUUUUAUUCUUUUUUUCUCUCUGCUAGCGGAAGGCACGAAUUCCAUCCACGGACGGACGCGCGUGCGGGCCGAGUCGGCACCGACGGGGGCGCAAAAAAAAUUUUGGCAGAUUGAUUUUUUUACAAUUUAGUAGUAGGGAUAGAAUUACAUCCAAAUCUAUGAGCAGUAAAUUUACUUGUGAUAAUAACCGGCGCGUCCGAUCUCCGGUCACACUAUAUUUGUUACUUGACCUAUGAACGAUAAGUUUGCUUGUGAUAAUAACUGGUGUGUUCGGUCUCUUAUCUACCUAUUUUUUUUUACUGAUAGUAUAAUUUUAUUAAGUAAAUAAUUCCAUCCAGUGAGCUGUAAAUUUGCUUGUGACAAUUGGUGUGUCUAAUAUCUGGUCAUACUAUUUUUUAUUACUAAUAGAAUUAUUUUGCUAUGUAAAUAAUUCCAUCCUCACACGUGAGUAGUGAAUUUGCUUUGUGAUAAUAAUUGUCGUGUCCGGUCUCCGAUUAGACUAUUUUUUAUUACUAAUAAUAUUAUUUUGUUAAAUAAAUAAUUCCAUCCAAACUUAUGAGCACUAACUUUACUUGUGAUAAUAAUUCCAUCUGUAAUUUUUUAUUCCUAAUAGAAUAAUUUUAUUAUUAAUAGUAUAAUUUUGUUAAGUAAAUAAUUUUAUCAGGACCUGUGAGCGAUAAAUUUAUGUUGUGAUAAUAAUCGGCGCGA
This 782-nucleotide long non-coding RNA is filed under the name Sorghum bicolor (sorghum). RNAcentral's name for it is "long non-coding RNA (SBIC_LNC007372)". Lineage: Eukaryota; Viridiplantae; Streptophyta; Magnoliopsida; Poales; Poaceae. The record is from RNAcentral.